RNAcentral lists this ribosomal RNA (351 nucleotides) under uncultured bacterium. Its description in RNAcentral is "partial 16S ribosomal RNA". It matches the Rfam family "Bacterial small subunit ribosomal RNA", at positions 338 to 681 of the family's 1533-position model. The record is from RNAcentral.
CCUACGGGAGGCAGCAGUGGGGAAUAUUGCGCAAUGGGCGAAAGCCUGACGCAGCGACGCCGCGUGAGGGAUGAAGGUCUUCGGAUCGUAAACCUCUGUCAGCAGGGAAGAACGGUCACGGUGCUAAUCAGCAGUGAAUUGACGGUACCGGCAAAGGAAGCACCGGCUAACUCCGUGCCAGCAGCCGCGGUAAGACGGAGGGUGCGAGCGUUCAUCGGAAUUACUGGGCGUAAAGCGCGCGUAGGCGGUAUGUCAAGUCAAGGGUGAAAUCCCCGCGCUCAACGUGGGAACUGCCUUUGAAACUGGCAACCUGGAGUGUGUGUGUGGCUAGUGGCAUUCCAGUUGUCGGCG